CUUAAAAACAAACCUAAUAACAUAAAAAUACCCAAAUAAGUGAUAACAUAUUAAACGGGGUGAUAACAUAAUCAAUGAGGUAAUAACAUCAAAAUGUAUAUUUGCUUCUGAAUAUACAGUCACGUGAUAUCAUCAAAAGAAAAUAAAAUAAAUAUAGCACUAUAAAGACAACUGUCGUUACAUUUUCCGAUACUCAUGUUAUUAUUCGAUAUUAUUAUUUCAUACUAUAACAUGAUGCUGUAUUUUUCUCUCGUGAAAGCCAUAACUUAUAUUAGAUGUUGAGGAAAAAUAAAUUAAUCAAAUUGAGGUAAAAAAUCAGUUAUAAAGCCAAGUGAUAAAAAAUAAAUAUAGUUAAAAAUACACUGAAUUUAGCAUACAGUCACGUGUUUAUCAUUUAAUAGAAAACUUAUGCAAUCAACCUAUUAUAUACGGUAAUAUGGUUUCGAUGCAUUUAGGUAUCAGCUAUUUCAAUCUAUGAUUUCUUCAUAAAACAUUUCUUUUAAUUUUGUUAAAAAUUUUAACUAAAUUUCUUUCAUUUUUUUUUUUAUGACUACAGUCAGACCUAUUCCACCACGCUCAUUGUUGGCCUCUUUCAUUUGUGCCAAAAAGUAGUAGUUCAUUAAACAUAUGGAAUAUUUAGGUAGAACUAUACUAAAACAUGGGUUGGUAAAGUUUGAAUGGUUGCUGCUUCUUUAUGUAGAAAGUGACACAUAUGAAUUGUUUACAUUGUCUACAAUACAGACUGUACUUUUUUAUAAUUAAUAUAACAACAUCUAAAAUCGCUUCGGCUGUUAUCUCGGUACAUGUUAUAUGCAUAUUCAUUUAAUGAGCUGCGUCGGAAAAUAUUCGAUCACAUGUAAUGAGUAUCAAAACUUCAGUUAACUUUUUUCCAUUACAAAAAUCUUUGCGCAAAUUUUGUUACUAUAUGAAAAAGUUACACCCUCACAAACAGAUCCAAAUUAGGUUUUAUUUCGUAUUUUAAUACUUCUAAAUCAAUCAAAAACAUAAAAUUCUAUACGUGCACUUGCACAAGGUCGUUUUUCCCAGACAACUCAAUUGUUAGCACGGAGCUGUAUGUAUAGUUUUACAAUGCAUGAUUCAGAUAGAGUUAUGGUGACAGGGUAAAUUGAACAUACUUCAAUAGCGUUAUUCUUCAUUAAAAUAGUCAGGUGUAUUGUCGUCAUCGAAAUCAAUUAUAUUUCUCUUAAAUAAAACAUGACAAUCAACUAUAGCACAUGUGAUACGAAACGAAAGAGCAAUGUGAUAUAUUAUUAUAAGAGUGAACAAAAUGACGGUGUCUAGGAUUCAGAUAGAGUUAUGGUGACAGGGUAAAUUCGAAUAUACUUCAAAAGCGUUAUUUUUUUUUUAGCAAAACAGCUCUAUUGGCGUCAGCGAAAUCAAUUUUAUUUCUCUUUAAAAAAACACAUUAACAUCAACUAUAGUUUAAAUAAUACGAAACGAAAGAGCAAUGUGAUAUAAUAUUUUAAGAGUGAACAACAUGACGGUGUCUACAUUUAUGUGUAGUUCA
RNAcentral lists this long non-coding RNA (1528 nucleotides) under Mytilus galloprovincialis (Mediterranean mussel). The record is from RNAcentral. Lineage: Eukaryota; Metazoa; Mollusca; Bivalvia; Mytilida; Mytilidae.